GACGAACGCUGGCGGCGUGCUUAACACAUGCAAGUCGAACGGAAAGUCCCUGCUUUUGUGUGGUUCUCGAGUGGCGAACGGGGUUGUAACACGUACGUGACCUGCCCUUGACUUUGGGAUAACUUCAGGAAACUGGGGCUAAUACCGGAUAGGAGCUCCUGCUGCAUGAUGGUGGUUGGAGAGUUUCGGCGGUUGGGGAUGUACCGGCGGCUCAUCAGUUUGUUGGUGGGGUAGUGGCUUACCAAGGCUUUGACGGGUAGCCGGACUGAGAGGGUGACAGGGCACAUAGGCACAGGGGAACGGCCCGGACGCAAUCGGGAGGAAGGGGUGGGAAACAUAGGACGAUGGGCCGAAGGCUGAAGCAGCAACGCCGGGUGGGGGAUGACGGCUGUCGGGUUGGAAAGCGCUUUCGCGUGUGACGAAGCGUGAGUGACGGAAAUGACCAAAGAGGCACCGGUAACUUAGGG
This 467-nucleotide ribosomal RNA is filed under the name uncultured bacterium. RNAcentral describes it as "partial 16S ribosomal RNA". It matches the Rfam family "Bacterial small subunit ribosomal RNA", at positions 28 to 507 of the family's 1533-position model. The record is from RNAcentral.